GUGAGGAAUAUUGGUCAAUGGACGAGAGUCUGAACCAGCCAAGUCGCGUGAAGGAAGACGGUUCUAUGAAUUGUAAACUUCUUUUGUGCAGGAAUAAAGUGGGUUACGUGUAACCUUUUGUAUGUACUGUACGAAUAAGGAUCGGCUAACUCCGUGCCAGCAGCCGCGGUAAUACGGAGGAUCCGAGCGUUAUCCGGAUUUAUUGGGUUUAAAGGGUGCGUAGGUGGAUUGAUACGUCAGCGGUGAAAGUUUGCAGCUUAACUGUAAAAUUGCCGUUGAAACUGUCGGUCUAGAGUGCAAAUGAGGUAGGCGGAAUGUGUUGUGUAGCGGUAAAAUGCUUAGAUAUAACACAGAACUCCGAUUGCGAAGGCAGCUUACUGGGAUGCAACUGACACUGAUACACGAAAGCGUGGGUAUCAAACAGGAUUAGAAACCCGUGUAGUCC
Molecule: ribosomal RNA, 445 nt
Filed under: uncultured bacterium
Lineage: Bacteria
Description: partial 16S ribosomal RNA
Rfam family: Bacterial small subunit ribosomal RNA
Source: RNAcentral